This 190-nucleotide ribosomal RNA is filed under the name uncultured bacterium. RNAcentral's name for it is "partial 16S ribosomal RNA". It matches the Rfam family "Bacterial small subunit ribosomal RNA", at positions 707 to 895 of the family's 1533-position model. The record is from RNAcentral.
CACCGGUGGCGAAGGCGACUUUUUGGCUGACAACUGACGCUGAGGCGCGAAAGCGUGGGGAGCAAACAGGAUUAGAUACCCUGGUAGUCCACGCCGUAAACGAUGAUUACUAGGUGUAGGGGGUAUCGACUCCCUCUGUGCCGCAGUUAACGCAUUAAGUAAUCCACCUGGGGAGUACGGCCGCAAGGUU